This 618-nucleotide ribosomal RNA is filed under the name Hemisphaericaspora elongata. RNAcentral describes it as "Spathaspora elongata partial large subunit ribosomal RNA". It matches the Rfam family "Eukaryotic large subunit ribosomal RNA", at positions 37 to 670 of the family's 3401-position model. Lineage: Eukaryota; Fungi; Ascomycota; Pichiomycetes; Serinales; Debaryomycetaceae. The record is from RNAcentral.
UGCAUAUCAAUAAGCGGAGGAAAAGAAACCAACAGGGAUUGCCUUAGUAGCGGCGAGUGAAGCGGCAAAAGCUCAAAUUUGAAAUCUGGCGUAUUCUGCGUCCGAGUUGUAAUUUGAAGAAGGAUACUUUGGGGUUGGCUCUUGUCUAUGUUUCUUGGAACAGAACGUCACAGAGGGUGAGAAUCCCGUGCGAUGAGAAGCCCAAUUCCGUGUAAAGUGCCUUCGAAGAGUCGAGUUGUUUGGGAAUGCAGCUCUAAGUGGGUGGUAAAUUCCAUCUAAAGCUAAAUAUUGGCGAGAGACCGAUAGCGAACAAGUACAGUGAUGGAAAGAUGAAAAGAACUUUGAAAAGAGAGUGAAAAAGUACGUGAAAUUGUUGAAAGGGAAGGGCUUGAGAUCAGACUUGGUAUUUUGUAUGUCUUGCUUUCGGGUGGGGCCUCUGCAGUUUACUGGGCCAGCAUCGGUUCGGGUGGUAGGACAAUUGCGAAGGAACGUGGCACUGCUUCGGUGGUGUGUUAUAGCCUUUGUGGAUACUGCCUGUCUGGACCGAGGACUGCGUCAUUUGACUAGGAUGCUGGCAUAAUGAUCUUAAGUCGCCCGUCUUGACCCACCCGGACCACA